This 470-nucleotide ribosomal RNA is filed under the name uncultured bacterium. RNAcentral describes it as "bacterial SSU rRNA". It matches the Rfam family "Bacterial small subunit ribosomal RNA", at positions 33 to 518 of the family's 1533-position model. The record is from RNAcentral.
ACGACGCUGGCGGCGUGCCUAACACAUGCAAGUCGAGCGGGGAACCCCUUCGGGGGUUCCAGCGGCGGACGGGUGAGUAACGCGUGAGCAACCUUUCCUUCACAGGGGGAUAACGCAGCGAAAGCUGUGCUAAUACCGCUUAAGACCACAAUGUCGCAUGGCAAAGGGGUCAAAGGAGAAAUCCGGUGAAGGGUGGGCUCGCGUCUGAUUAGCUAGUUGCGGGUAACAGCCCACCAAGGCAACGAUCAGUAGCCGACCUGAGAGGGUGAUCGGCCACACUGGGACUGAGACACGGCCCAGACUCCUACGGGAGGCAGCAGUGGGGAAUAUUGGGCAAAAUGGGGGAAACCCUGACCCAGCAACGCCGCGUGAGGGAAGAAGGUUUUCGGAUCGUAAACCUCUGUCCUCAGGGACGAAGAAAUGACGGUACCUGAGGAGGAAGCCCCGGCUAACUACGUGCCAGCCGCCGC